AGCGAACGCUGGCGGCAGGCCUAACACAUGCAAGUCGAACGGAUCCCUCGGGAUUAGUGGCGGACGGGUGAGUCACACGUGGGAACGUGCCCUUUGGUUCGGAACAACUCAGGGAAACUUGAGCUAAUACCGGAUGUGCCCUUCGGGGGAAAGAUUUAUCGCCAUUGGAGCGGCCCGCGUCUGAUUAGCUAGUUGGUGAGGUAACGGCCCACCAAGGCGACGAUCAGUAGCUGGUCUGAGAGGAUGAUCAGCCACACUGGGACUGAGACACGGCCCAGACUCCUACGGGAGGCAGCAGUGGGGAAUCUUGCGCAAUGGGCGAAAGCCUGACGCAGCCAUGCCGCGUGAAUGAUGAAGGUCUUAGGAUUGUAAAAUUCUUUCAGCGGGGACGAUAAUGACGGUACCCGCAGAAGAAGCUCCGGCUAACUUCGUG
RNAcentral lists this ribosomal RNA (433 nucleotides) under uncultured bacterium. Its description in RNAcentral is "partial 16S ribosomal RNA". It matches the Rfam family "Bacterial small subunit ribosomal RNA", at positions 29 to 507 of the family's 1533-position model. The record is from RNAcentral.